Molecule: ribosomal RNA, 404 nt
Filed under: Fusobacteriota bacterium
Lineage: Bacteria; Fusobacteriati; Fusobacteriota
Description: Fusobacteria bacterium partial 16S ribosomal RNA
Rfam family: Bacterial small subunit ribosomal RNA
Source: RNAcentral
UGGGGAAUAUUGCACAAUGGAGGGAACUCUGAUGCAGCGACGCCGCGUGAGUGAUGAAGGACUUCGUUUCGUAAAACUCUGUUCUAUGGGAAGAAAAGGACUGUACCAUAGGAGAAAGCUCCGGCUAAAUACGUGCCAGCAGCCGCGGUAAUACGUAUGGAGCGAGCGUUGUCCGGAAUUAUUGGGCGUAAAGGGUGCGCAGGCGGCUUUACAAGUUGGAUGUGAAAUAUUGUGGCUCAACCACAAACGUGCAUCCAAAACUGCAAAGCUUGAGUUAAGGAGAGGUAAGUGGAAUUCCUGGUGUAGCGGUGGAAUGCGUAGAUAUCAGGAAGAAUACCGGUGGCGGAGGCGACUUACUGGACUUAAACUGACGCUCAGGCACGAAAGCGUGGGGAGCAAACAGG